Molecule: non-coding RNA, 343 nt
Filed under: Phaseolus vulgaris (common bean)
Lineage: Eukaryota; Viridiplantae; Streptophyta; Magnoliopsida; Fabales; Fabaceae
Description: Bacterial large subunit ribosomal RNA
Rfam family: Bacterial large subunit ribosomal RNA
Source: Rfam by way of RNAcentral
CUUUUUUUUAUACUCAAACACUACAAUUAUUAAAUAAAAACUAAGCUUUUUUAUGGGUCAGAACCAUCAAUAAGAUACCACUUUGAAAGAGCUAGAAUUAUAACCUUGUGUCAAGACCUACGGGCCGGGGGAUAAUCUCAGGUAGACAAUUUCUAUAUAGCGUAGGCCUCCUCAAAGGUAACGGAGGCGUGCAAAGGUUUCCUCGAGUCAGACGGAGAUUGGCCCUCGAGUGCAAAGACAGAAGGGAGUUUGACUGCAAGAUCCACCUGUCGAGCAGGGACAAAAGUCGACCUUAGUGAUCCGACGAUGCCGAGUGGAAGGAUCGUCGCUGAACGAAUAAAAG